This 529-nucleotide ribosomal RNA is filed under the name uncultured bacterium. RNAcentral's name for it is "bacterial SSU rRNA". It matches the Rfam family "Bacterial small subunit ribosomal RNA", at positions 8 to 526 of the family's 1533-position model. The record is from RNAcentral.
AGAGUUUGAUCCUGGCUCAGAGUGAACGCUGGCGGCAGGCCUAACACAUGCAAGUCGAACGGCAGCACAGCAGUAGCAAUACUGUGGGUGGCGAGUGGCGGACGGGUGAGGAAUACAUGGGAAUCUGCCCUGUCGUGGGGGAUAACGUAGGGAAACUUACGCUAAUACCGCAUACGACCGGAAGGUGAAAGCGGCGGACCGCAAGGCGUCGCGCGACUGGAUGAGCCCAUGUCGGAUUAGCUAGUUGGCGGGGUAAAGGCCCACCAAGGCGACGAUCCGUAGCUGGUCUGAGAGGAUGAUCAGCCACACUGGAACUGAGACACGGUCCAGACUCCUACGGGAGGCAGCAGUGGGGAAUUUUGGACAAUGGGGGAAACCCUGAUCCAGCCAUCCCGCGUGUGCGAUGAAGGCCUUCGGGUUGUAAAGCACUUUUGGCAGGGAAGAAACAGGUUUGGCUAAUAUCCAGACCGAAUGACGGUACCUGCAGAAUAAGCACCGGCUAACUACGUGCCAGCCGCCGCGGUAAUAC